AUGCGAAACAACUACCACAUCAAUGUUGAGGCGUGCUCGAGCAUAAAGGCAAUCAAGUACUUGUUCAAAUACAUCUACAAAGGGCAUGAUUGGGCAUCCUUUGCAUUCAAGCAGGAUAUCAUCCAUGAUGCUGGAAUCAUCAAUGAAAUCCGAAAAUAUAGGGAUGCACGCUAUGUAUCUCUGCCAGAGGCUAUUUAUAGGAUUUUUCGGUUCAAAAUGUUUGGUGUCAGUCCAUAUGUGCUACAGCUCCAGCUUCAUUUGCCAAACAUGCAUACAGUUGUGUUUAAAGCUUCUGAAAAUCUGGAAGAUGUUGUCGCUCGACCAUCUUCUUCCAAGUCCAUGCAUACAGAGUACUUUGAGAUGAACCGAAAGUUUCCACCGGCACGGAAAUGGUUGUAUAGAGAGUUUCCAGAACAUUAUAGAUGGAUAGCUAGAAAAAAGAUGUGGCAGAACAGAAGAAAUAAGAGAGGUACUACUUGCGUGUGCUCCUAA
Molecule: ribosomal RNA, 492 nt
Filed under: Triticum aestivum (bread wheat)
Lineage: Eukaryota; Viridiplantae; Streptophyta; Magnoliopsida; Poales; Poaceae
Description: partial small subunit ribosomal RNA
Source: RNAcentral